GAGAAAGAAAACGUGCAGAACACUUCGCAGGUCUCAUCCGACAACAGCAGAACCAGGACGAACGAACGCGAUAGCUCCACAUACGAUCCGUGUUCCAGCAAGCAAGGUGAUGCAAAGAAAAAAUCGAAAAGGAGCGAUGACCUAAAGGCAUUACAGAAGGAGUACUUUGUAAGUAAGUUGCGGCUGCAUGAGGAAAAAAUGAAACUGAUUGCAGCAAAGAUGGAAAUGGUGAAGAACCAGGGGGAGUUCUACCGCAACAUGACUAAUGCACUA
Molecule: long non-coding RNA, 273 nt
Organism: Dreissena polymorpha
Lineage: Eukaryota; Metazoa; Mollusca; Bivalvia; Myida; Dreissenidae
Exons: 3
Source: RefSeq, a predicted model, not a curated record